ACUUCAUGAUGAAUGUAAAAUGACAAGCAUAUGCCUGAACUCAAGUGAUGUCAUCUUACUACUGAGAAGU
Camelus dromedarius (Arabian camel) is the source of this 70-nucleotide small nucleolar RNA. Its record names the gene SNORD27. It matches the Rfam family "Small nucleolar RNA SNORD27". From Rfam's summary of the family: U27 is a member of the C/D class of snoRNA which contain the C (UGAUGA) and D (CUGA) box motifs. NCBI's taxonomy places the organism in Eukaryota, Metazoa, Chordata, Mammalia, Artiodactyla, Camelidae. The record is from Ensembl.